CCUACGGGUGGCAGCAGUGAGGAAUAUUGGUCAAUGGGCGGGAGCCUGAACCAGCCAAGUCGCGUGAAGGAAGAAUGUACUUAGUCUUGUAAACUUCUUUUGUCGGGGAACAAAGGCGGAGACGCGUCUCCGGAUGAGUGUACCCGAAGAAAAAGCAUCGGCUAACUCCGUGCCAGCAGCCGCGGUAAUACGGAGGAUGCGAGCGUUAUCCGGAUUUCUUGGGUUUAAAGGGUGCGCAGGCGGGCGAUCAAGUCAGCGUUAAAAUGUUGGGGCUCAACCCCGGCCGGCCGUUGAAACUGGUUUUCUUGAGUUGGAGAGAAGUAGGCGGAAUUCGUGGUGUAGCGGUGAAAUGCAUAGAUAUCACGAAGAACUCCGAUUGCGAAGGCAGCAUACCGGCUCCAUACUGACGCUGAGGCACGAAAGCGUGGGGAUCGAACAGGAUUAGAUACCCCAGUAGUC
This 459-nucleotide ribosomal RNA is filed under the name uncultured bacterium. RNAcentral describes it as "partial 16S ribosomal RNA". It matches the Rfam family "Bacterial small subunit ribosomal RNA", at positions 338 to 795 of the family's 1533-position model. The record is from RNAcentral.